AGUGGCGGACGGGUGAGUAAUGCUUGGGAACUUGCCUUUGCGAGGGGGAUAACAGUUGGAAACGACUGCUAAUACCGCAUAAUGUCUUCGGACCAAACGGGGCUUCGGCUCCGGCGCAAAGAGAGGCCCAAGUGAGAUUAGCUAGUUGGUAAGGUAAAGGCUUACCAAGGCGACGAUCUCUAGCUGUUCUGAGAGGAAGAUCAGCCACACUGGGACUGAGACACGGCCCAGACUCCUACGGGAGGCAGCAGUGGGGAAUAUUGCACAAUGGGGGAAACCCUGAUGCAGCCAUGCCGCGUGUGUGAAGAAGGCCUUCGGGUUGUAAAGCACUUUCAGUUGUGAGGAAAAGUUAGUAGUUAAUACCUGCUAGCCGUGACGUUAACAACAGAAGAAGCACCGGCUAACUCCGUGCCAGCAGCCGCGGUAAUACGGAGGGCGCGAGCGUUAAUCGGAAUUACUGGGCGUAAAGCGCACGCAGGCGGUUUGUUAAGCUAGAUGUGAAAGCCCCGGGCUCAACCUGGGAUGGUCAUUUAGAACUGGCAGACUAGAGUCUUGGAGAGGGGAGUGGAAUUCCAGGUGUAGCGGUGAAAUGCGUAGAUAUCUGGAGGAACAUCAGUGGCGAAGGCGACUCCCUGGCCAAAGACUGACGCUCAUGUGCGAAAGUGUGGGUAGCGAACAGGAUUAGAUACCCUGGUAGUCCACACCGUAAACGCUGUCUACUAGCUGUGUGUGUCUUUAAGACGUGCGUA
Molecule: ribosomal RNA, 749 nt
Filed under: uncultured Alteromonas sp.
Lineage: Bacteria; Pseudomonadati; Pseudomonadota; Gammaproteobacteria; Alteromonadales; Alteromonadaceae
Description: bacterial SSU rRNA
Rfam family: Bacterial small subunit ribosomal RNA
Source: RNAcentral